This 293-nucleotide long non-coding RNA is filed under the name Sus scrofa (pig). RNAcentral's name for it is "lncRNA (ENSSSCG00070019561.1)". The record is from RNAcentral. Lineage: Eukaryota; Metazoa; Chordata; Mammalia; Artiodactyla; Suidae.
CGCCAGCCUGCAGGUGCCAUCGCCCUCCCUUCAGGGUGAAUUCUCGCUCAGGCCCUACCUCCCAAUUCAGCCUUGUCAUCUGGCCUUACCAGGACCUCUCCGGACCACCAGCAGGUCCAAGGCUGCAAAGUGCACGACUGUUCUCUGAACGAUUGAAUGCCUGAAUGCAUGUAGGUCACUGGCAGCCUGGUGUUCCAGGGACAGGAGACUUGAGAGGAGGGUCUUCCUUCUCAUUCUCCCAUUGCACUGCCUGCUCUGCAGCUGUACCCUCAGAUCCUAACACAACACCUGGG